ACGGCCAUACCAUGCUGAAUAUACCGGUUUCGUUAGAUCACCGAAGUCAAGCAUCAUUGGGCGCGGUCAGUGCGUGGGUGAGUGACCACCUGGGAACACCACGUGCCGUU
This 110-nucleotide ribosomal RNA is filed under the name Caerostris darwini. The record is from RNAcentral. Lineage: Eukaryota; Metazoa; Arthropoda; Arachnida; Araneae; Araneidae.